This 127-nucleotide small RNA is filed under the name Marmota monax (woodchuck). Lineage: Eukaryota; Metazoa; Chordata; Mammalia; Rodentia; Sciuridae. The record is from RNAcentral.
GCUGGGUGUGGUGGUGAAUGCCUGUAAUCCCAGCAGCUCAGGAGGCUGAGGCAGGAGGAUCAGAGUUCAAAGCCAGCCUCAGCAUAUUUUAACAAGUCACUAAGCACUCAAUGAGACCCUGUCUCUA